Long non-coding RNA from Helianthus annuus (common sunflower), 2037 nucleotides. RefSeq lists it as uncharacterized. The record is from RefSeq and is a predicted model, not a curated record. The transcript has 7 exons. Lineage: Eukaryota; Viridiplantae; Streptophyta; Magnoliopsida; Asterales; Asteraceae.
UGUUAUACCUUGAUCGAAGUUGUUGAUGAUGUGAAAAGCAAGAAGUAUUCAAGUGGAAUGACUGAAGAUUCAAGUGUGCAUCGGCAAUUAAAGGUUGAAACAGUUUUAAUGAGAUAAGAGAAAACACUUUUAGGAAGGGAUGUGAAAAGUUGUUGAAAAGAUCUUCUUCACUUAGGUAUUUGAAAUUAUGGAUACAAAUAUGAGAAUUUCAAGCAAGUAUGAAGUGUUCCUUCAAGGAAGUCCAACACAAAGCUCCGCUGAAGCAAGAAAAAAAAGGAAGUGUAUUCUACAACAAAAGAGAAACAAUGGUGGUUGUCAUCCUACAUCAACAUCCGAUUCUGUUGAGAGGACUCCAUUAUAAAAUAUUAAAAUGUUUCAACAACCAAUGUUGAACGAAGGAAUGUAUAUCACUCUCUUACUUAUGCUACUCCAAAUCUUAGUAAUAAUUUGUGUUAGUCAUCUACAAAAGGAAAAGAUCCAUCAAGAAAAAUCUCAUCAAGGAAUGUACAUCAAACUCCUUUGGGAAGUACUAAGCAAACAUCCGAUUAUGUUGAGAGGACUCCAUUAUCAAAUAUUACAGAUUGUGACAUAUCUAAAAUUGAACUAUCAAUGACUGAUGAGAUCUUAGCAGAUUCUGUGGUUAAGAAGAUUUAUGGAAUUUCUAAAGAUUAUAUUGAUCAUGGAGAUGCCAUCUUUGUGUGCUCUAAGUCUGAUGCAAUAUUAUGGGAAGGUGAAAUGCUUAGGGGAAAUCAAAAUCAUAAGAAAACCUCAUAUUCUCUUUGCUAUUCAAAUGGAGAUGUUGAGCUACCACCACCACCUCCACCUCCUCCAUUACUACGUCAUUUAUAUAUAAGUUAUACCUCAGAGUGUCAGAAUUUCAUGAAUAAUAUUCGAGCAUAUAACAUGAUGAUUUCGUUCGCAUCUCUUGGUGGCAAGAUUGACAAAAGUUAUCAGAGAGGCAAAGGUCCUUAUGAAUUUAGACUACAAAGUCAGAAUUAUCAUCGAAUGGGUAGUCUACUUCCGGGCGAUGGAGAAGAACCCAAAUUUUCACAGCUUUACACAUAUGAUUCAUAAAACGAGGUGGUAAAUCAUCAAAAGGCAGUAAGUUCUCAGAUAGUUUCUAAAACCACAACAAACAACCAGCUAGAUAUUACGAUCAUCAAAAGUCUUAAAAAUAUGUUGGAUUCUCGCAAUUCUCUUGUCCAGUCAUUCAGAAUGGUAAGAGAUUAUUUGCAAGAAAAUGAGUGGCAAGAAGUAACCCUCAAGCUUAUUGGAACAAGAGAUAAGGAUGGAAGAAUUCACAACUUGCCAAUAGCAUCAGAAGUUGUUGUGUUAAUAAUUGGUGAUUUUGAUGGAGCAUUUGAUAAAUGGGACAUUAUUGUUCAAAGAAGUCUGGUGGUCUUCAAAUAAUUAGUGAACUUCAUCCUUCUUACCUUGCUUUGCAAUAUCCACUUAUUUUCCCAUAUGCAGAAGAUGGUUAUAGAGUUGGUAUCAAACAUAGAGGGAUAGCGGUUGAUAAUGAGGUACUUAGAACCAACCUUACAAUUAGAGAAUUCUUUUGUUACAAAAUACAAGAUAGACACAAUCAAUUGUCAUUGUUAGUUAAUGCCAAAAAACUAUUUCAACAGUUUUUGGUUGAUGCAUACACGAUGAUAGAAUCUGCCAGGUUGAAUUAUAUAAGGAUACAACAACCGAAACUUUGAACCCAAAGUUUUAAGAAUUUGAAUGCUACUGUUGAAAGUGGAGAGAAUAAUGCCUCAAAUUGUGGUAAACCUAUAUUUUUACCUUCAUCAUUUACUCGUGGUUCUAGAUAUAUGAUGCAAAAGUACUUGGAUACUAUGGCAAUUUGUAAGUCUGUUGGAUAUCCCGAUCUAUUCAUAACAGUGACUUGUAAUCCCAAUUGGCCUGAGAUUUAUAGGUGUUUGCAUGAUAAAGCUCUUAAUCCUGAAGACAGGCCGGAUAUUAUCUCUAGAUUAUUCAAGUGUAAAUUGGAUCAUCUAAUAAAAUAUUUCAAGAAUCAUAAAUUCUUUGGUGACA